RNAcentral lists this ribosomal RNA (739 nucleotides) under uncultured bacterium. RNAcentral describes it as "bacterial SSU rRNA". It matches the Rfam family "Bacterial small subunit ribosomal RNA", at positions 771 to 1501 of the family's 1533-position model. The record is from RNAcentral.
AACAGGAUUAGAUACCCUGGUAGUCCACGCCGUAAACGAUGAGUGCUAGGUGUUGGGGGUCAAACCUCGGUGCCGCAAGCAAACGCAAUAAGCACUCCGCCUGGGGAGUACGUGCACAAGCAUGAAACUCAAAGGAAUUGACGGGGACCCGCACAAGCAGCGGAGCAUGUGGUUUAAUUCGUGGCUACGCGAAGAACCUUACCAGGACUUGACAUAUAUAUGAGGGGACAUAGAGAUAUGAAACCAGUAAGAGCUUGCUCUUAACAUAUAUACAGGUGGUGCAUGGUUGUCGUCAGCUCGUGUCGUGAGAUGUUGGGUUAAGUCCCGCAACGAGCGCAACCCUUGCAAUUAGUUACUAACAGAUAAAGCUGAGGACUCUAAUUGGACUGCCGAUGAUAAAUCGGAGGAAGGUGGGGAUGACGUCAAAUCAUCAUGCCCUUUAUGUCCUGGGCUACACACGUGCUACAAUGGUCGGAACAAAGAGGAGCGAAAUGGUGACAUCAAGCAAAUCUCAAAAAACCGAUCCCAGUUCGGAUUGUACUCUGCAACUCGAGUACAUGAAGUCGGAGUUGCUAGUAAUCGCGGAUCAGAAUGCCGCGGUGAAUGCGUUCCCGGGUCUUGUACACACCGCCCGUCACACCAUGGAAGUUGGCAAUACCCGAAGCCGAUGGCCUAACCGCAAGGAAGGAGUCGUCGAAGGUAGGGUCAAUGACUGGGGUGAAGUCGUAACAAGGUAACC